Molecule: long non-coding RNA, 705 nt
Organism: Cynoglossus semilaevis (tongue sole)
Lineage: Eukaryota; Metazoa; Chordata; Actinopteri; Pleuronectiformes; Cynoglossidae
Exons: 3
Source: RefSeq, a predicted model, not a curated record
AGGAGGAGGAGGAGCUGCGAAAAGCUGUGUAGAACGGAACCUCAAGGUCCUUAAGACAAGAGCAGAAUGUAACACAGCCAAACUAAUGACUGAGCUACAGAGGGAGAAAAUGACUCUUUUUCUUUCAUCUCCAAUACCACACAAAGCUUCUUCUGGUCCCUGCGAGACCAGUUUUCUGCUGUGCGUGGUCAGCGUUGGACUGGACAGACACUGACAAAGACAUCUGCUCACAGCAUUUGUUUGAAUCUAGCUGUGAAGUCACUCUUCAAACAGAUGCUCAACCAGUUUUCAGUCAAUUACCAGAGCAAACACAACACCUCUGUUGCAUCUCUCUAUUGAACAACAGCUCAUUCAGCAUUUCCCAGCAUGCACUGGGUUAAAGCACAAAUGAAUGGCUUAAAACGAACUAUUAGAACUAUUUGGGCAAGUGACUCUGGGUUAAAAAUAAAAUUCCAAUCCAAAAUAGAAACAAGUGGUAACAAUAUUGAACAGCACGUGAUUUGGUGUAGAACUGUUACCUUUGGUUAGUUUUUUAAGUUUACUAAUUUGUUCAAUAUUAUACCCUUUUAUUUUUAAAGUAAAACUGCAACUGCACAUUUUUCAUCAUAAUUCAAAGUGUAUUCUGUAGUUAAUUUAUCUUUUAAACAACUCUAAUAGUUUAAACAAAAAUGUACUUUGAAAUGUAUUUGAAUUAUUCAAAAGUGU